Molecule: ribosomal RNA, 253 nt
Filed under: uncultured bacterium
Lineage: Bacteria
Description: partial 16S ribosomal RNA
Rfam family: Bacterial small subunit ribosomal RNA
Source: RNAcentral
UACAGAGGGUGCUAGCGUUGUUCGGAAUCAUUGGGCGUAAAGGGCGUGUAGGCGGUUUGUUAAGUCAUGUGUGAAAUCCCUCGGCUCAACCGGGGAACGACGCAUGAAACUGGCAAGCUAGAGUACCAAAGAGGGGGGUGGAAUUCCCGGUGUAGCGGCGAAAUGCGUAGAUAUCGGGAGGAACACCUGUGGCGAAGGCGGCCCCCUGGUUGGAUACUGACGCUGAUACGCGAAAGCGUGGGGAGCAAACAGG